Molecule: long non-coding RNA, 226 nt
Filed under: Prunus persica (peach)
Lineage: Eukaryota; Viridiplantae; Streptophyta; Magnoliopsida; Rosales; Rosaceae
Description: long non-coding RNA (PPER_LNC002601)
Source: RNAcentral
CAAUUAUUAUUACAGAAACAUACAACAGAUAGAUUUUUUCCUGCAAUGAAGGUGCAGGCCUUGUAAAAUCUAUAAAAAUACAUUAUGUUCUGGAAGCCUCUGAAGGAAGAGGACGACGCCUCUUAAGCUUAGCCAUGAGCCUCUCAUGGUCUCCCAAAAUUCUUUCAUUGGAGACCUGCAGCAUGUCUAGCCUUCUCAGUGUAUCAACGGAGUACGAACUCACCAG